AGGAGCGGGCGCCGCGCUGGGCCGCAUUCGCGGGGGUCGGGUGAGGGCCCGGCGGCCGGCCCGGCCCAGAUCCGCCCUCCUCGAGGCGGGUCUGCCCUUCGGGAGGGCGUGUCUGUCUUCGCCCUCGGGGCCGGCCUAGUCUAGAGGACGGGAGGGAAGUGUUUCUUCCCCGCCCCCCCAGUAAUCUUUCAGUGUUUUCAGACUGCUGGGAGAGUCCGUGUUUACCCCCACCUGAUGCAACCUCCAGCAUGGACUGCGAGUCCCUUCAGGGCGGAGACUGUCUUGCUACGUGGAGAGAUGAACGCGCUAGGAUGACCCCCGCAGUGCUGUUUGGAACAGAGAACAGAAGCCCCAUCAGCAGGGAGCAGUCAGAUGCCUCAUAGAGUAUCCUAAAUGCAGCGGAAGAUGCGAUAUUCUCAGCUGUGCAGUGACAAAGAGGCAGAGCUUCACACUGAUCCAAAAGGAUCUUUAAAACCUGUUGUUUAAAAAAAGAAAA
Long non-coding RNA from Neofelis nebulosa (Clouded leopard), 496 nucleotides. RefSeq lists it as uncharacterized. Lineage: Eukaryota; Metazoa; Chordata; Mammalia; Carnivora; Felidae. The transcript is spliced from 2 exons. The record is from RefSeq and is a predicted model, not a curated record.